CCUUCAGCCAGCCACAGAGAAGUUUAAGAUGACACAUGCCACCUCCUGCUCCAGGAAGCCUCUGUUUCCUGUUCUGGUGCAGGAGCAGCUCAUAGCCCAGUGGUUCCUCCAUUACCCUGUGGGGCUCCCCUCCCAGUGCAGAGCCUGAAAUCCAAGAGGAAACAGAUCCUUUUCAUCUAGAGGAAGAACACCAACAUGGUGCUGCCCAGGCUGCUGAAGCUGGUCAUGGUGUCUGUGUGGCUGGGAUCCAGUUCUGCCCAGAAGGUGACUCAGGCCCAGCCAGCCAUGUGGGUGCAGGAGAAGGAGGCUGUGAGCCUGCUCUGCUCCUAUGACGCCAGUGGUACAAAUUAUGGUCUCCUCUGGUACAAGCAGCCCAGCAGUGGGGAGAUGGUCUUCCUCAUCCUUCAGACCUCUUACAGCCAGCAAAAUGCCACAGAAGGUCGCUACUCAGUGAAUUUGCAGAAGGCAAGCAAAUCCAUCCAGCUUGUCAUCUCAGCCUCACAGCUGGGGGACUCAGCAGUGUAUUUCUGUGCACUGAGAGAUGGCACUGUGAGAGAACUGUUGGAGGCAGUUGUACAAAAACCCAGGGUCUGCCUGAGACAGCCACCUGCUGCAGGGACCAAGGUAGACAAUUACCACCCCAGACAAGAAGUGGCCAGGGCUGUGGCAGCUCAUGUCUGGGGUUGGAGGGAAAACACUCACUCUGAGGAACCUCUCUCUAGGUUCAUAGACCACAUCAGAGUUCUCACUAAUCAAACCAGCCAUAUUCCAUAA
Non-coding RNA from Marmota monax (woodchuck), 774 nucleotides. The record is from the annotation of a RefSeq genome assembly. Lineage: Eukaryota; Metazoa; Chordata; Mammalia; Rodentia; Sciuridae.